GACGAACGCUGGCGGCGUGCUUAAUACAUGCAAGUCGAACGGGGUCCAACCUUUCGCAAGAAAGGGGACGGCCUAGUGGCGAACGGGUGCGUAACACGUGAGAAACCUGCCCCCGGUCUCUGGAAUAACAAGUGGAAACACUUGCUAAUACCGGAUGCCGUCACCAUGUCGCAUGGCAAGGUGACGAAAGAUUUAUCGGACCGGGAGGGUCUCGCGGCCUAUCAGCUUGUUGGUGAGGUAACGGCUCACCAAGGCGUCGACGGGUAGCUGGUCUGAGAGGAUGAUCAGCCACACUGGGACUGAGACACGGCCCAGACUCCUACGGGAGGCAGCAGUAGGGAAUCUUGCACAAUGGGCGAAAGCCUGAUGCAGCGACGCCGCGUGCGGGAAGAAGGCCUUAGGUGUAACGCUUCAGCAGGGAAGAAAAUGACGGUACCUGUAGAGAAGGUGCGGCCGAACUACGUGCCAGCAGCCGCGGAA
Molecule: ribosomal RNA, 480 nt
Filed under: uncultured bacterium
Lineage: Bacteria
Description: bacterial SSU rRNA
Rfam family: Bacterial small subunit ribosomal RNA
Source: RNAcentral